GGCCAGACUCCUACGGGAGGCAGCAGUGGGGAAUAUUGCACAAUGGGGGAAACCCUGAUGCAGCGACGCCGCGUGAGUGAAGAAGUAUUUCGGUAUGUAAAGCUCUAUCAGCAGGGAAGAAAAUGACGGUACCUGACUAAGAAGCCCCGGCUAACUACGUGCCAGCAGCCGCGGUAAUACGUAGGGGGCAAGCGUUAUCCGGAUUUACUGGGUGUAAAGGGAGCGUAGACGGCAUGGCAAGUCAGAUGUGAAAGCCCGGGGCUCAACCCCGGGACUGCAUUUGAAACUGUCAGGCUGGAGUGCAGGAGAGGUAAGUGGAAUUCCUAGUGUAGCGGUGAAAUGCGUAGAUAUUAGGAGGAACACCAGUGGCGAAGGCGGCUUACUGGACUGUAACUGACGUUGGGGCUCGAAAGCGUGGGGAGCAAACAGGAUUAGAUACCCCAGUAGC
RNAcentral lists this ribosomal RNA (448 nucleotides) under uncultured bacterium. RNAcentral's name for it is "bacterial SSU rRNA". It matches the Rfam family "Bacterial small subunit ribosomal RNA", at positions 329 to 794 of the family's 1533-position model. The record is from RNAcentral.